UUAAUCGUAAGCUUCUUAGAACAUUAUGUAUCAUCACUAAGCAUCUAUCUACCAGCAAUAAAUACUUAUUUUCAUAUGUUUCAAUAUGUGCCCGAAUAAUAUUAAUGUACAUUUUUUCAAUACAUGGCUUACUCUCGGCCUUUGCGCCAUUGGCGCAACUGGUCAUCUAGUUGAACAUAUAAAGGAUGAGGGAAUGCGGCCAACUAGCGGCUGUGGCCACGUCUCCUUUUUUUCGCGGGUUACUGUAGCAGCGCUUGGAGAGAUGAGUCCCGAGCGCCCCCAUCUUCCCUCCUCUCUCUUUUCCACUUCCCCCUCGCCUCCGCCUCCGCCAUCGCCUCCUCCCCUCUCCUUCCUCUCUCCCGUCUCCUCCCUCUCAACCCUAGCCGUCACCACCCAGUACCCACCCUCUACUGCUCCACCGCGCACCCACCUCCCCUUGGAUCAGGUGCAGGCCGGCCGGUGCGCGCAGGCGGCGGCGCUCCACUCGAGGGCAAAGGAAGGCAACGGCGGCGGUGGCCGCCGUGGACACCCGCGGCUAUGACGAACCCCGCUGCUAGGAGGCCACCAUGGAGGCCCGUCCCGAGCUCGGCUCGCCGCUCCUCCGGUGACCCUCGUUGUGCCUGGAUCCGGGUCGGGCGGAUCCGACGAUUCCCCGACGCGCAGGCGGGCCGGCACGCGGCCCUAGGCGGAGGAGCCCUCCCAUGGCGCCGACGGCUCUGGAGAUGAGGGCUGCACAGAGGAAGAGGAGCACCAGCAGCUCGAGUGCAGGCCCGCCGGUGCGCGCAGGCGGCAGCGCUCCACUCGAGGGCAAAGGGAGGCAACGGCGGCGGUGGCCGCCGUGGACACCCGCGGCUAUGACGAACCCCGCUGCUAGGAGGCCACCAUGGAGGCCCGUCCCGAGCUUGGCUCGCCGCUCCUCCGGUGACCCUCGUUGUGCCUGGAUCCGGGUCAGGCGGAUCCGACGAUUCCCCGACGCGCAGGCGGGCCGGCACGCGGCCCUAGGCGGAGGAGCCCUCCCAUGGCGCCGACGGCUCUGGAGAUGAGGGCUGCACAGAGGAAGAGGAGCACCAGCAGCUCGAGGUCUAUAACGGGAUCUUGAGGAAAUCAGAUAAUGCAUUUUGGUUGUAUCAACUAUACUGAAUCUGCAAAGCCUUUUUUGUGUGCAGAGAAAUUCACCCUCUGCAUUAGUUGCAAAAGAUGCUGAUUUUGAUCAUAACAAUUAUAGUUGUUCAAGCAGUAGCAGAUUUGGCAACCUCACAGUCAUCUCAUUCAGAAUUCACGUCCUAUCCUCAACGGAGCUUAAGAUGCUGAUUUUGAUCAUAACAAUUAUAGUUGUUCAAGCAGUAGCAGAUUUGGCAACCUCACAGUCAUCUCAUUCAGAAUUCGCGUCCUAUCCUUAACGGUUAGCUUAUUAACGCGUUGUGGGCACUUCAUUUGGCAUCGUCUUUCAGGCUAAAUUCUUGGAAACUGGGGAGACGGUGGCCAUUAAGAAGGUACUGCAGGACCGACGGUCCAAGAACCGGGAGCUGCAGCUUAUGCAUUUGAUUAACCAUUCCAAUGUUGUUCUCCCUCAAGCACUGCUUCUUCUCAACCACAAGUAGAGAUGAGCUGUUUCUGAACCUUGUCAUGGAGUAUGUCCUGGAGACACUCUACCGUAUGCUUAAGAACUACAGUAAUGCCAAACAGGGGAUGCCACUUAUC
This is a long non-coding RNA of Triticum dicoccoides, 1701 nucleotides long. RefSeq lists it as uncharacterized. The record is from RefSeq and is a predicted model, not a curated record. The transcript is spliced from 6 exons. NCBI's taxonomy places the organism in Eukaryota, Viridiplantae, Streptophyta, Magnoliopsida, Poales, Poaceae.